Molecule: long non-coding RNA, 1227 nt
Filed under: Cairina moschata (Muscovy duck)
Lineage: Eukaryota; Metazoa; Chordata; Aves; Anseriformes; Anatidae
Description: domestica (muscovy Duck (domestic type)) lncRNA (ENSCMMG00000001163.1)
Source: RNAcentral
AAGAUAAUCAUUUAAUAGCAACUCUGAGCCAGGAGACAAAAGGAAAGGUAGUUGAAGAACUCAUUGCUAAUUUCUCUCCCAGUGUAAUCAAAUCAGUACGGCUCUCCAGCCAGGACUUAUAACCCUUAAUAAGUCACUCUAUUCGAUUAAGAGGAAUUGAUUUUCUUCUACCGUAGAUCAUAGUGAUUAUGACAAAUAUGGUAUCUGCUGCUCACUUCCCUAUCUUCCCUGCUAGUGUCCAUUUGUUUGCAGGGCCGGCAGGUAAACGAGCCAGAGAGAUGACACGGUGUCAUUAACUGCAGUCAGUGUCAGCGCUUUGACAGCCGUGGAAUUGAGUGGUUCCCUAGAUCAGAGCAGAAGCCAGUUGUGAGGGUCUCGCACAGCAAUUACGUACUUCUGACAACUCUACUGACAGCCUUAAAUGCAGGAAAUGAUGGGAUAGUAAUUUGUAAUUGCAACUAGGAGAGCAACUGGCAAUCGGUGAUGGUGUGGUGGCAGCGUACGGGCCAUAGUUUAGAGGUUAGCCAACAUCAAAGCAGAUGGGAGAAGCGGGAAGGAGAGCUGUCAAGCUGCCAUGUUUCAGAAGCAAAGCAAUAUUGACCUUAUCUUCAACCAGAGGUUACCAGUGGAAUCAUUUCUUGACAAGAUGGCAGUCUGAUAGUUUUGGAGUACCUGAAAUCCUCAGACUUUGGAUCCAGAGACAGUUCAGAGGGAAGCAAGGUAAAGAUGAAAAAUUUUUCAAGUUUCAAAAUUCAGAAUAGUUUGAGAAACUUGCUUCAGUGAGGGGGGAAAAAAGUUACCUCCAUUUCAGUAACUAUUAAUCCCUUUUUAAGCUUUAUUUGCAAGUUGGAUUUCCGUAGUUUCACCUUCCAGCCGUGAUAUACUGACAUCCUGUAGUAGGAUGAAACUAAGAAACAAACCUUGAAAUAUUGCAACUUGCAUAAUUUUUCUACCUACACCUCCUCUUUGGUAGGUCUACUCUAUUGAACAUUAAGUAUCACAUUCUAAGUUAUGAUUUCUAAACUUCAUGUUAUUAUGCUCCUCCUUUUUUUUUUUUUAAUCACGUCAUUUUUUUUAAUGUACUUUAAAAGUGUGGAGACUAAUUCUGGGCAAAAUAUUGCAUGGGUAGUCUAAUCAUUGGCAGACAUACUAUUGAAAAAUACCUUUACUGUUAUUCUCUCAGAUCUGGAGAUCAUUGUAGCGAGUUUAGGUGCACUGUUAAGUCAG